CGUGUAGGCGGCUCAGCAAGUCAGGUGUGAAAGCCCUCGGCUUAACCGAGGAAGUGCGCCUGAAACUACCGAGCUUGAGUACCGGAGAGGGCGGUGGAAUUCCCGGUGUAGAGGUGAAAUUCGUAGAUAUCGGGAGGAACACCAGCGGCGAAGGCGGCCGCCUGGACGGUGACUGACGCUGAGACGCGAAAGCGUGGGGAGCAAACAGGAUUAGAUACCCUGGUAGUCCACGCUGUAAACGAUGAGCGCUAGGUGUUGUGGGUGUUGACCCCCGCAGUGCCGCAGCUAACGCAUUAAGCGCUCCGCCUGGGGAGUACGGCCGCAAGGCUAAA
Molecule: ribosomal RNA, 332 nt
Filed under: uncultured bacterium
Lineage: Bacteria
Description: bacterial SSU rRNA
Rfam family: Bacterial small subunit ribosomal RNA
Source: RNAcentral